Molecule: ribosomal RNA, 265 nt
Filed under: uncultured bacterium
Lineage: Bacteria
Description: partial 16S ribosomal RNA
Rfam family: Bacterial small subunit ribosomal RNA
Source: RNAcentral
UGGCGAACGGGUGAGUAACACGUGGGCAAACCUGCCCAAAAGAGGGGGAUAACACUUGGAAACAGGUGCUAAUACCGCAUAACCAUAGUUACCGCAUGGUAACUAUGUAAAAGGUGGCUAUGCUACCGCUUUUGGAUGGGCCCGCGGCGCAUUAGCUAGUUGGUGGGGUAAAGGCUUACCAAGGCAAUGAUGCGUAGCCGAACUGAGAGGUUGAUCGGCCACAUUGGGACUGAGACACGGCCCAAACUCCUACGGAAGGCAGCAG